CCAACUUGCAGUCAUAUGAGCAGUAAUGAAUAAUUGCUGUUUUAACCACCGUUUACUUGGGUAGCUUGAUGUGAUCAUUAAUUUUAUGUGUCAGUUUGACUAAGCCAUGAGAUGCCCAGAUAUUUGGGCAAAUAUUAUUUCUGGGUGUGCCUGCAAGGGGAUUUCUGGAUAAGAUAAAUAUUUGAAUCAGGAGACUGAGUGAGCAGAUUGCCCUUCCCAAUGUGGGUGGGCCUCAUCCAAUCUGUUGAAGACCUAACUAGGAUAAAAAGCUGAGAAGGAAAGAAUUCUCUUCUCUGCCCGACUGACUUUGAGCUGGGACAUCAGUCUUCUCCGGCCUUCAAACUCGAACUCAAACUGAAACUUACACCAUUGGAUCUUUGGAUUCUUAGACCUUUAAGCUGGGAACUUCAACUGGAAAUAUACCACUGGCUCUCACAGAUCUCCAGCUUGCUGACUGCAGAUCUUGGACUUUUCAGCCUCCAUAAUCAUGCAUCUCUCUCCAUCUGCAUGCCCUUCCUCCCAGGCCACUUGGAAAGCUGCUCUCUUGAGCCUCCACCAUCUUGCCAGUUCUGCAAUUCCCCUUUUGAGACUCCAGGCAGCAGGCAUGGCUUCCACAUGCCCAUCGAGGCUGGAGUUCACUCUGUCAUGGCACUACUUCACUUAACUGGACUGACUUAUUCAACACUUCUGCCUCUCUUAGGUCUACAGCUAUGUAUAAAAUCUUGUAGGACCUUAAUAUAUACUAACUGAAUAAACUGAAUUAGUGAUUCAAUAAAUACGUCCUUAGGGUUUAUUGAAACAAAGAGAGUGUUAGAGAUUCCAGAAGAUCAACAAGAACCACAGGAAUGGCCUAAUUCUUGGGUAUAGAUACAGUGCAGAGUACUCUCCUGCUGAUUAGCUAAUGCUUCUAAUUCCCCCAUUAGCAUUUGACUCUUAGCUUAAAGUCAUGACCAAAGAAAGGAGCAAGUCCCCCUGGGAGGGGUUACACUGAAGCUGGAAUCAUUAAAAUGAACAUCAGUGAGGAAAAAUCAGUUUAGCACUUCCUGGAACGCAGGCCUCAGAAGGGUCAGAACCUCUGGAGAAGGGGAUGGAGGUGGCGGGCAGGAACACUGGGCUACUGAGACACUUCUCAGAGCUUGUCAGACUAAGAUCUGGAAUAAACAGCCCUGAACUCCUUCCCAGCUCAAUAUUCAGUUAUUUUAUGGCGACCUUUUCUUCUCACAGACACAUCCCUCCUCCAGCCACCCUUUUCCCCAGGCUGUGGAAACCACGCAAAUGAGUUGCAGUGUUUUUGUAAUUGUUGAUUCUGUGAGGCUAAGGCGGGUAAUAGAAAGAGCACUGAUUUGGAGUCAAAGACUCCAUAUCCAAGCCCUGGCUUUGCCAUUUCCAAACCGUGUGUUUCUGGACAAAUUGCUUUAAUGGUCAUAUAUUAUAAGUUCUUCCUCUGUGCCAGGCCCUCUGCCCAGGAUUUUACAUCUAGUGCUUCCAGUCCCUCAGCUCUGUGAAGGAGGCAGCACUGUCGGCAUUUCAUCCAUGAAGACACAGGGGACCAUGGCCACCGAGCGCAUGCCCAAGUCCAUCAGCCCAGCAAGUGAAUGGAUGAAAACCCCAGCACAGCUCAGUUCGCUCCAACUCCAGCUCUUCCUAUGUGCCAUGAGUCUCAGUUGGUUCAUCUGUAAAAUGAAGGGGCUGGAACAGUUGCCCUCCCGGCUCUUUUGUUUUAUGACUUGAUAUUUGCUUGUGAUUGGGGCAGGUUUGAAAUUACUUCAGAGACCCAGCUUCUGCCAAAUCGUAAUCAAGUUGGCUGCCUGGUCUGAGGCCCGAUGAACAAUACUGCGUCUGUGGCUCAGCCCUGCUUCAUGAUGGCCAUGGCACAUUUCCUGCGGUGUCGAGAGCCCUUUCGGGGGGCGGGGGAGGGGGAGGGGGAAGGGGGGGCGGUGCUGGCCCCGCAUCCCUUCAUUUCCCAUGCUCCAUUGCAAUAAGUCACCAGCCUUUCAAAACACAUCAGUGUGUUCCUUUUUAUUGCCAUCAAACCCUCUGCUCAUAUGAUGGCUCAAUCACUGUGAUUUAUUUUAAUUGAAAAGCCUACCGGCCACCCUCUGCCAAUGCAACUGGCCAGCUCCUGUGUCAUUUCCUACCAGAACAUCCCCUGCCAACCCACAGCAUCUGCACAGGCCAGUGAAGGGGAGGAGGUGAGCUCUGAAUGGCCAUUUGGCCUCAACCUGACAUCCAAGAAGAUCCUCAAAUGUACAUUUUAACCUUUUCUCCCCAAAUGAUAAUAGAUAUAAACUGCAUGUAUUUUGUAAGUUUUAAAAGCAAUCAUUUAUAAUGGCAUUUGCAGUAACCUGGAUGGAAUUGGAGACCAUUAUUCUAAGUGAAGUAACUCAGGAAUGGGAACCCAAACACCCCAUGUUCUCACUUAUAAGCAAGAGAUAAGCUAUGAGGAUGCAAAGGCAUAAGAAUGACACAAUGGACUUUGGGGACUCAGGGAAAGGGUGGGAGUCAGGUGAGGGAUAAAAGACUACACAUUGUGUACAGUGUACACUGCUCUGGUGAUGGGUGCACCCAAUUCUCAGCAAUCACCACUAAAGAACUUACUCAUGUAACCAAACACCACCUGUUGCCCAAAAAACCUACUGAAAUAAAAAUAAAUAAAUAAAUAAAAGCAGUCAUUUAUGAAUAGACUGUAUUUGUUAAACCCU
RNAcentral lists this long non-coding RNA (2702 nucleotides) under Homo sapiens (human). RNAcentral's name for it is "HSALNT0144554". The record is from RNAcentral. Lineage: Eukaryota; Metazoa; Chordata; Mammalia; Primates; Hominidae.